This 774-nucleotide small RNA is filed under the name Pan troglodytes (chimpanzee). RNAcentral's name for it is "retained intron". The record is from RNAcentral. Lineage: Eukaryota; Metazoa; Chordata; Mammalia; Primates; Hominidae.
CUGCAACACUUAAUUAUGUGCACUGUGCUAAGAGCAGGACACAUCUAAUUUAAUCCUCAACCCAUUUUGAGGAGGAAACAGAGGCUCAGAGAGAUGAAAUCAUUUGCUUAAGCCACACAGCUAGUAGAGUAGCUGACAUUCAGACCCAGAAGCCUCCUGCCACCCCAAAUCCCAUGCUCUUAAUCACAGUAUGUGGACAUCUGUCUGGUAGGCCCCCCAGGUCAGAUGGGGAUCUUGCACUAAAGCAUUCAUUUCUCCUUCAGCCCUGAGAGCCCAUAAGGCCAAUGGAGGAGAAAUAGGCCUCUCCUGAGUCCUGUCUUCAGUAAGCCUCUCAAUUUGAGGGGGUUGUCUCAGACUGAAAGCUCCACCUAAGCAGGCGGGAGAAAGACCCAACCAGGGCAUGGGUAGCAGGGCUGGCCACUUGGAGGAAAUGUCCUUGGCCCAGGCCUUCUGCAGAACCCUUCACACCCGCCACUGGGCUCCUUUUUCCACAGCGGCCAAGAAGGCAGUGUGGCUGGAGAAGGAGGAGAAGGCCAAGGCGCUGCGGGAGAAGCAGCUCCAGGAGCGCCGGCGCCGGCUGGAGGAGCAACGUCUUAAAGCCGAGCAACGCCGUGCAGCCCUGGAGGAACGUCAGCGGCAGAAGCUCGAGAAAAACAAGGAGCGCUAUGAGGCAGCCAUCCAACGGUCAGUGAAGAAGACGUGGGCCGAAAUCCGGCAGCAGCGCUGGUCCUGGGCAGGGGCCCUGCACCACAGCUCUCCAGGACAUAAGACCAG